RNAcentral lists this ribosomal RNA (688 nucleotides) under Urocampus carinirostris. Its description in RNAcentral is "bacterial SSU rRNA". It matches the Rfam family "Eukaryotic small subunit ribosomal RNA", at positions 1017 to 1715 of the family's 1831-position model. Lineage: Eukaryota; Metazoa; Chordata; Actinopteri; Syngnathiformes; Syngnathidae. The record is from RNAcentral.
GUCCUAGUUCCGACCAUAAACGAUGCCGACUCGCGAUCCGGCGGCGUUAUUCCCAUGACCCGCCGAGCAGCACCCGGGAAACCGACCAAGUGUCUGGGUUCCGGGGGGAGUAUUGUUGCAAAGCUGAAACUUAAAGGAAUUGACGGAAGGGCACCACCAGGAGUGGAGCAUGCGGCUUAAUUUGACUCAACACGGGAAACCUCACCCGGCCCGGACACGGAAAGGAUUGACAGAUUGAAGGCUCUUUCUCGAUACCGUGGGUGGUGGUGCAUGGCCGUUCGUAGUUGGUGGAGCGAUUUGUCUGGUUAAUUCCGAUAACGAACGAGACUCAAACAUACUAAAUAGUACCGCGGCCCCCCGCGCGGUCGGCGGCAGAAAACUUCUUAGAGGGACAAGUGGCUCUCAGCCACACGAGAAUGAGCAAUAACAGGUCUGUGAUGCCCUUAGAUGUCCGGGGCUGCACGCGCGCCACACUGAGCGUAUAAGCGCGUCGUCUAUCCCCGCGCCGGCAGGCGCGGGUAAUCCUAUGAACCCCGCUCGUGACAGGGCCUGGGGAUUGCAAUUAUUUCCCACCAACGAGGAAUUCCCAGUAAGCGCGGGUCAUUAGCCUGCGUUGAUUAAGUCCCUGCCCUUUGUACACACCGCCCGUCGCUACUACCGAUCGGAUGGCUUAGUGAGGUCCUCGGAU